AUACCUUUCGCCAUGUGCCCAGGGAACCAGCGGGCCACAUCCCGGCCACUGCAGUCGAACCGCUCCCUCCAGCCUUGGACUGGUGCCCGCAAGAUAGUCGUGAGCCGCAUCCUCCUCUCUUCCAGAAGACUCUCCUUGCCAAAUUACUCUACUUACUUCCGGGAGAGGGAGGAAGAGUUUGUUGCUAUGACAACAAACAGAGGCACUGCUCCGUCAAUCCAACAGAGGAGAGGGCGCAUUUUUUGUGAUGCAAUUGACUAGGAACCGGCCCUUAGAUCUGUCACCACCCACUCCCCCAUAAGUUAUCUGAGACCGCAUGCGCGAAGGGGGAAGGGUGAGCUCAAUAACCGAGGAAGAAUGAGCAAUCCCAGCCCAUUGUUUGAGAGCCCUAAGGAAGAGGCAGCUGCACAGGUUCCAGAGGUGCCCACUGAUGGAUGUGCCACGUACAGCCCAAUGCCACUGCCACCACCUUCUCCCGAUGGAGAGCCAGGAAUGGGGUCCUGCGGCCAGUGCCAAACCUGGCUUCUAGACCUGCUGGACGAUGUGCGCUAUCUUAUCUCUUGCACGAACUGGUACUAGUAACUCUCUCUGUGCCCACCUGCCAGGACCACCAGCCUGUUCACCUGAAUAGGGGAGCAGAGCCCACGUUGUAGAAAAGUGACAUCGUUGGCAGAUCCUGGCUGUCCAGCUGUGGUUAAAGGUCUGGAGGAAAAUAAAUGCUCUAGCUUGAUCUGACA
Rhineura floridana is the source of this 737-nucleotide long non-coding RNA. RefSeq lists it as uncharacterized. The record is from RefSeq and is a predicted model, not a curated record. The transcript has 2 exons. NCBI's taxonomy places the organism in Eukaryota, Metazoa, Chordata, Lepidosauria, Squamata, Rhineuridae.